AGUGAACGCUGGCGGCAGGCCUAACACAUGCAAGUCGAACGGCAGCACAGUAAGAGCUUGCUCUUACGGGUGGCGAGUGGCGGACGGGUGAGGAAUACAUCGGAAUCUACUUUUUCGUGGGGGAUAACGUAGGGAAACAUACGCUAAUACCGCAUACGACCUACGGGUGAAAGCAGGGGAUCUUCGGACCUCGCGCGAUUGUAUGAGCCGAUGUCGGAUUAGCUAGUUGGCGGGGUAAAGGCCCACCAAGGCGACGAUCCGUAGCUGGUCUGAGAGGAUGAUCAGCCACACUGGAACUGAGACACGGUCCAGACUCCUACGGGAGGCAGCAGUGGGGAAUAUUGGACAAUGGGCGCAAGCCUGAUCCAGCCAUACCGCGUGGGUGAAGAAGGCCUUCGGGUUGUAAAGCCCUUUUGUUGGGAAAGAAAAGCAGCAGGUUAAUACCCCGCUGUUCUGACGGUACCCAAAGAAUAAGCACCGGCUAACUUCGUG
RNAcentral lists this ribosomal RNA (492 nucleotides) under uncultured bacterium. RNAcentral's name for it is "partial 16S ribosomal RNA". It matches the Rfam family "Bacterial small subunit ribosomal RNA", at positions 29 to 507 of the family's 1533-position model. The record is from RNAcentral.